This 87-nucleotide non-coding RNA is filed under the name uncultured eukaryote. The record is from RNAcentral.
ACAAGUUCUCCUCUCUCCUCUCUCUUUUCCCAAGCGCCUUACCCCCCCCUCUCUAACCCCCAACUAACCAAUGCGCACACACAAACA